This is an RNA transcript of Anguilla rostrata (American eel), 3388 nucleotides long. RefSeq lists it as uncharacterized. The record is from RefSeq and is a predicted model, not a curated record. Lineage: Eukaryota; Metazoa; Chordata; Actinopteri; Anguilliformes; Anguillidae. The transcript is spliced from 5 exons.
GAUAUGUGUACUUCAGGCUACACUGAAUUUCAUUGUCAGGACAUUCUCAGCUUGGUUUAGGCAUCACUACCGGGCCUUUGAACUGCGACCAUGUCCAGCUGGCAAAAUGUCCCUGAUAACACAUGACGAACUGGCAGAGAAGUACCCAUUACAUGACUACUUCAUUGGACUCCUUCGACUGGUUACGUUUAAAAGAUAUCCUUAUAUUAAAAGCACGUGUUGAAUAUGUGAGUAGACAGCUGUAAUUGAUAGCUUACUAAAUGUGCACUUUAUUCUCACUAGGAUGAGCACCUAAUACUAACUUAACACCUGUCACCUAUGUCCACUUGGCUGUAUAGUGACGUGUUUCUGUGCAUGCACUAACUCCUUGUCACUGGUUGAAUCUGACAGUCUAUUAGGUACAUCUGUACAAUUUUUAAGACAAUGAAGCUUUUAAUAUAAAUGUUUUGUUGGCAUUCAGUCUGAGAUGUGUAUAUGUAAACUACUGAGGUCAUAGUUAGCAUUAGAAUUGGUUAUGAUCAAAGCCAGGUGUUGACUUUCCAAUUUUAAUGCUUUUAAUUUAUACAUAUUUAAUGGCUUUAUACUUGUAUUUUUGUCUUUUCUAGACUGAAGCAUUUGAAUGAUGGCUACACCAGUAAAACUGCGGAUUAUCCUUGGUGCCAACAAUGCUGAAAAACUGACCAUAGAAUCAGGCAUGCCAAAGUCUGUGGAGGAUCUUUCAAACGAGAUCAAACGUCAGUUUGAUAUAGAGGGGGACAUUAGACUCCAGUACAUGGACAGUGACUUUGAUAAUGAGUUUGUUAACCUUAACCAAAUUAGCGAUAUUCAAGACAAGAGCACAGUGAAAAUCAUCUGCUUGUCAGAUGCUCCAGACCUCAACCAAAGCAACAUGAACCAGAGUGGGGAAGAAACAUCUUUGUCAUCUUCUGACACAAUGUUACUCUCCUCCCCUGAUUCAGAAACUGCUCGAUCACAGUGGCCCACAGAAUUCCAAAUACCAAAGUUUCCAUAUGAUGUGGAGGUGCAACUUCAAAGUGCAAACCAGGCCUUCAUAUCAAGUGGAGUUAUUCUGAACCCCAGUCACAAACUUAAAUCGGACAUCUUGGAAAGUCUGGCUGAGCAAAUCAUUAAGUUCAAGGCAUAUCCUUCAAACUUGGAAAUAGAAUAUGUUGCUGAAGCUUUAAUCAAAGCACAUCCAUGUUUGAGAGAACAAGGGUCUUUCAGUGGUUUCUACGGAUGGAAAAUAAGCCUCAAGUACAAGAUGGCAAACUAUAGGACAAAGCUUAGAAACUUGGGGUGCCCAGAAUUGAGCAUUGAUUCCCUCAAGCACAAACCUGCAGAGAGAUGUAAGCCUGAAAGGCAGAGGUAAAUUUUUGUCCUCCCUAUCCUGCUGGAGAGACCCAGGACAGUCUCAAAGGUGAAAGAUUGGCAUUGUUAUCUGAGGUCAAGAAGAGACAUAAUGAUAAAGUUGUCAAAGAGAAGACCUUUGCAUACAGGAUGCAGGAGGUCGUCAGAGACAAGCCCAUGAUUGCCGAGUUCAAGAUCAGAUGGCCAGGACUGUUCAUUGUGGCAGAGGUGGAAGCAGAAUUUGUGAGGAUUACUACUGCUCCCCUUGUCUCAAAGUUCCUUGCACAACUUGACCAACACACUGCCCAGCUCAUCAAAGUGUUGACGAAGAAAGGAGGCUCUGCAGAGAGGAAAAUUACAACAAUUUUGGCCCAAAUUGCACAGUCACCUCACAAUUUAACCCAAUAAGACCGGAUGCUACAUUUGCGUAUAUCUGUUUAAGACCGGGUGCGACGUUUGCAUGCUUCUCUCUUUAGAGCUGGAUGCGACAAUGAAACUGUUGAAAAGAGAAGGGAGUGCAUCCUCAGGGCACUUUGUAUCUACUUGAAUGAAGACCCGAACAUCCUCUUCAAAGAAUACCUGGAUUCCGAUGCUACAGCUGUUGCAAGGGAGCUUGAACAAGUUAUCCUUGGCAUCUACAGCAUCAAUGUUGAGGGAGGUGAUACCACCACUCCUCCAGCCGAUGUUGGAAUAGUGAUCGAGGGUGUUGAAGUUCUGCAUGACUUGGGAGACAUCGCCUCUGCAUGUGCACUCUUAAUGGGUGUAAUAUAUGCACUGAACCUCAGUUAUCCUCAGGAACUGAAAGCCUUCUUUGAAGUACUUCAGAAGCUCUUCCUGCAAUUGGAUGCUUGCAGACUAUCAACCAAGGUACAGAUGCUCAAGAACAAACUGUAUGAAUGAGCCAACCAUUUGAUUUGGAUGCUGAAUGUUCUGUGGAAUAGGCAAAAUUAUAUUUUGGGCCAAAACUGAAUAAAAUGAUUGCCAAUUAUUUGCUGUUUGAAAAUAGCAGAGCAGGGAAAAACUACACGUCAGAAAAAUAACCAAUGAUUUGGCAAACUUUUGGCAAACUACUACCAUAAGUGAAAAGUGGUAGUCUAGUGGUACUACUAAGUGAAAGGAUGUGGAAUUGAGAGACCAUGCAGCACCAAAAUUGUUAACUGAAUGUAUAUUUUGCGGACUUUUUAACACCAAGCUGCACCAAAAACAACUGCAAGGAAGUUGGAUUGUCAGACCGUCUUGCAUAUACUGGCAACUUAAAAAACAAACACUACUUUAACAGAAUGCUGCAACACGAGUUGACAUGUUUGUUAAAAUGUUUGCAUCUCAGGUUUUUUCCCCCCACAAUGCUAAAAUAAAUGUUGACAAGUGUGUUGUUAGAUGGUUAGACCAUUAUGCUGUUACAAAAAAAUUUUGAAAACUGCAAGCCUGUUGUAUUGUUAGACCAUAAUAUUGACAAAUAAAGGGAUGUUUUGUUGGAUUUUUAUGCUGCAUCAAGGCAGUUUACAACUGUUAGUGUUGGACCAUGCUGCACCAUAAUGUUGCCAACUGAAAGUAUGGUUUAGUAUAUGUAGGGCUGCAACUAACGAUUGUUUUAAAAAAAAUAUUAUUAUUAUUAUUAUUAUCUGUCGAUUAUUUUUUCUAUUAGUCGAUUAGGUGUUUGGGCUUUGGGAAACUGAUUGACAUUUUUGACCAUUUUCUGACAUUUUAUACACCAAGGUGCAACCUAAAGUGUUUUAUUUUGUCCCGACCAACAGUCCAAAGAUAUUCAGUUUACUGUCAUAGAGGACUAAAUAAACCAGAAAAUAUUCACAUUUAAGAAACUGGAACCAGAGAAUUUUAGCAUUUUUUCUUUUUGACUCAAAACGAUCGAUUCAUCAAAAUAGUUGGCAAUUAAUUUUCUGUCAUUGAUUAAUCGACUGAUAGUGCAGCUCUAAUUAUAUGUGUUACACUUAUGGUGCCAAAAAUGUUACUCUAUUGUUUUUUUGGACCAAGUGCACCAAAAUGUUAACUGAAUAAGUGCUGUGUUGGUAACAAAAAUGUG